ACGCAGCCAUGCCGCGUGUGUGAAGAAGGCCCUAGGGUUGUAAAGCACUUUCAAUUGGGAGGAAAAGCUAAUGGUUAAUAGCCAUUAGCCCUGACGUUACCUUUAGAAGAAGCACCGGCUAACUCCGUGCCAGCAGCCGCGGUAAUACGGAGGGUGCAAGCGUUAAUCGGAAUUACUGGGCGUAAAGCGCGCGUAGGCGGCUCUUUAAGUCGGAUGUGAAAGCCCCGGGCUCAACCUGGGAACUGCAUCCGAUACUGGAGGGCUAGAGUGUAGGAGAGGGAGGUAGAAUUCCAUGUGUAGCAGUGAAAUGCGUAGAUAUAUGGAGGAAUACCAGUGGCGAAGGCGGCCUCCUGGCUUAACACUGACGCUGAGGUGCGAAAGCGUGGGGAGCAAACGGGAUUAGAUACCCCGGUAGUCCACGCCGUAAACGAUGUCUACUAGCUGUAGGGGUACUUGAGACCUUUGUAGCGCAGCUAACGCACUAAGUAGACCGCCUGGGGAGUACGGCCGCAAGGUUAAAACUCAAAUGAAUUGACGGGGGCCCGCACAAGCAGUGGAGCAUGUGGUUUAAUUCGAUGCAACGCGAAGAACCUUACCAGGCCUUGACAUCCCCGGAACUUUCUAGAGAUAGAUUGGUGCCUUCGGGAACCGGGUGACAGGUGCUGCAUGGCUGUCGUCAGCUCGUGUCGUGAGAUGUUGGGUUAAGUCCCGUAACGAGCGCAACCCUUGUCCUUAGUUGCCAGCAGGUUAAGCUGGGCACUCUAGAGAAACUGCCCGUGAUAAGCGGGAGGAAGGUGUGGAUGACGUCAAGUCCUCAUGGCCCUUACGGGUUGGGCUACACACGUGCUACAAUGG
RNAcentral lists this ribosomal RNA (855 nucleotides) under uncultured Gammaproteobacteria bacterium. RNAcentral describes it as "bacterial SSU rRNA". It matches the Rfam family "Bacterial small subunit ribosomal RNA", at positions 386 to 1233 of the family's 1533-position model. The record is from RNAcentral. Lineage: Bacteria; Pseudomonadati; Pseudomonadota; Gammaproteobacteria.